Molecule: ribosomal RNA, 1347 nt
Filed under: uncultured bacterium
Lineage: Bacteria
Description: bacterial SSU rRNA
Rfam family: Bacterial small subunit ribosomal RNA
Source: RNAcentral
GACGAACGCUGGCGGCGUGCUUAACACAUGCAAGUCGAACGAUGAAGCCUAGCUUGCUAGGUGGAUUAGUGGCGAACGGGUGAGUAAUACGUGAGUAACCUACCUUUAACUCUGGGAUAAGCCUGGGAAACUGGGUCUAAUACCGGAUACGACCAAUCUCCGCAUGGGGUGUUGGUGGAAAGCGUUAUGUAGUGGUUAUAGAUGGGCUCACGGCCUAUCAGCUUGUUGGUGAGGUAACGGCUCACCAAGGCGACGACGGGUAGCCAGCCUGAGAGGGUGACCGGCCACACUGGGACUGAGACACGGCCCAGACUCCUACGGGAGGCAGCAGUGGGGAAUAUUGCACAAUGGGCGCAAGCCUGAUGCAGCGACGCCGCGUGAGGGAUGACGGCCUUCGGGUUGUAAACCUCUGUUAGCAGGGAAGAAGAGAGAUUGACGGUACCUGCAGAGAAAGCGCCGGCUAACUACGUGCCAGCAGCCGCGGUAAUACGUAGGGCGCGAGCGUUGUCCGGAAUUAUUGGGCGUAAAGAGCUUGUAGGCGGUUUGUCGCGUCUGCUGUGAAAGGCCGGGGCUUAACCCCGUGUAUUGCAGUGGGUACGGGCAGACUAGAGUGCAGUAGGGGAGACUGGAAUUCCUGGUGUAGCGGUGGAAUGCGCAGAUAUCAGGAGGAACACCGAUGGCGAAGGCAGGUCUCUGGGCUGUAACUGACGCUGAGAAGCGAAAGCAUGGGGAGCGAACAGGAUUAGAUACCCUGGUAGUCCAUGCCGUAAACGUUGGGCACUAGGUGUGGGGGACAUUCCACGUUUUCCGCGCCGUAGCUAACGCAUUAAGUGCCCCGCCUGGGGAGUACGGCCGCAAGGCUAAAACUCAAAGAAAUUGACGGGGGCCCGCACAAGCGGCGGAGCAUGCGGAUUAAUUCGAUGCAACGCGAAGAACCUUACCAAGGCUUGACAUAUACUGGACCGCAUCAGAGAUGGUGUUUCCCUUCGGGGCUGGUAUGCAGGUGGUGCAUGGUUGUCGUCAGCUCGUGUCGUGAGAUGUUGGGUUAAGUCCGCAACGAGCGCAACCCUCGUUCUAUGUUGCCAGCACGUUAUGGUGGGGACUCAUAGGAGACUGCCGGGGUCAACUCGGAGGAAGGUGGGGAUGACGUCAAAUCAUCAUGCCCCUUAUGUCUUGGGCUUCACGCAUGCUACAAUGGCCGGUACAGAGGGUUGCGAUACUGUGAGGUGGAGCUAAUCCCUAAAAGCCGGUCUCAGUUCGGAUUGGGGUCUGCAACUCGACCCCAUGAAGUCGGAGUCGCUAGUAAUCGCAGAUCAGCAACGCUGCGGUGAAUACGUUCCCGGGCCU